This 500-nucleotide ribosomal RNA is filed under the name uncultured bacterium. RNAcentral's name for it is "partial 16S ribosomal RNA". It matches the Rfam family "Bacterial small subunit ribosomal RNA", at positions 28 to 523 of the family's 1533-position model. The record is from RNAcentral.
GAUGAACGCUAGCGGCAGGCUUAAUACAUGCAAGUCGAGGGACAGCACAGGUAGCAAUACCGGGUGGUAACCGGCAAACGGGUGCGGAACACGUACACAACCUUCCUUUAAGUGGGGGAUAGCCCAGAGAAAUUUGGAUCAAUACCCCGUAAUAUAGUUGAAUGGCAUCAUUUGAUUAUUAUGACUACGGCGCUUAAUGAUGGGUGUGCAGCUGAUUAGAUAGUUGGCGGGGUAACGGCCCACCAAGUCUACGAUCAGUAGCUGAUGUGAGGGCAUGAUCAGCCACACGGGCACUGAGACACGGGCCCGACUCCUACGGGAGGCAGCAGUAAGGAAUAUUGGUCAAUGGACGCAAGUCUGAACCAGCCAUGCCGCGUGAAGGAUUAAGGUCCUCUGGAUUGUAAACUUCUUUUAUUUGGGACGAAAAAGGGCCUUUCUAGGUCAACUGACGGUACCAGAUGAAUAAGCACCGGCUAACUCCGUGCCAGCAGCCGCAGUAA